GAGCUGCUCCAUGCCAGGUGAAGUGUCCACGAUGGCCUUGCCCUGGAAGGAGUCUGGGCCUGGGAGGCGGCUGCAAAGGAUGAGGCAGAAGGAUGCGUGCUGACAUAGAAAGGCAUUCUCCAUGCGCUGCAGAGGACGAAAAGCAGGCAACAAGGCGGGAUACAGGUUAAAAGCUUGCGUAUCUGCGCACAUCGGAGAGAGAGAAGACCCAUGGCCAUAAAUACACAAAAAGAAGCCCAACCUCACCAUAGCCAAGGAGAUGCAGAGGAAGAACUGAAGAUCCCGGUCCUCCCCUGGCCCCUGGGGACCCGAGCUCUGAGGCGCAGCGCGCUCCGAGCUUGUCUUUACACACCAGCUGGGCUUCCCGCCGCGUUGUAACUCAAAGUUUUGUAAAUUGGAUCAUAUUUUACAGAAGAGAUAAAAGAAUGAGGCUGUGAAUCCUUGGAAAGAAUGUGCGCAUGAAGUGAUAAUCAGAACCAGAUUUAUGAUUUCUGUAAAGACAAAAAUCAGACAUAAAUGUCAAUGGUGCC
This 530-nucleotide long non-coding RNA is filed under the name Chinchilla lanigera (long-tailed chinchilla). Its description in RNAcentral is "lncRNA (ENSCLAG00000022232.1)". Lineage: Eukaryota; Metazoa; Chordata; Mammalia; Rodentia; Chinchillidae. The record is from RNAcentral.